GACGAACGCUGGCGGCGUGCUUAACACAUGCAAGUCGAACGGAAAGGCCCUGCUUUUGUGGGGUGCUCGAGUGGCGAACGGGUGAGUAACACGUGAGUAACCUGCCCUUGACUUUGGGAUAACUUCAGGAAACUGGGGCUAAUACCGGAUAGGAGCUCCUGCUGCAUGGUGGGGGUUGGAAAGUUUCGGCGGUUGGGGAUGGACUCGCGGCUUAUCAGCGUGUUGGUGGGGUAGUGGCUUACCAAGGCUUUGACGGGUAGCCGGCCUGAGAGGGUGACCGGCAACAUGGGGACUGAGAUACGGCCCAGACUCGUACGGGAGGCAGCAGUGGGGAAUAUUGCACAAUGGGCGGAAGCCUGAUGCAGCAACGCCGCGUGAGGGAUGACGGCCUGCGGUUUGUAAACCGCUUUCGCCUGGGACGAAGCGUGAGUGACGGUAAUGGGUAAAGAAGCACCGGCUAACUACGUG
Molecule: ribosomal RNA, 468 nt
Filed under: uncultured bacterium
Lineage: Bacteria
Description: partial 16S ribosomal RNA
Rfam family: Bacterial small subunit ribosomal RNA
Source: RNAcentral